UACGUAGGGUGCAAGCGUUGUCCGGAAUUAUUGGGCGUAAAGAGCUCGUAGGCGGUUUGUCGCGUCUGCUGUGAAAACGCGAGGCUCAACCUCGCGCCUGCAGUGGGUACGGGCAGACUAGAGUGCGGUAGGGGAGAUUGGAAUUCCUGGUGUAGCGGUGGAAUGCGCAGAUAUCAGGAGGAACACCAAUGGCGAAGGCAGAUCUCUGGGCCGUAACUGACGCUGAGGGGCGAAAGCAUGGGGAGCGAACAGG
RNAcentral lists this ribosomal RNA (253 nucleotides) under uncultured bacterium. Its description in RNAcentral is "partial 16S ribosomal RNA". It matches the Rfam family "Bacterial small subunit ribosomal RNA", at positions 524 to 776 of the family's 1533-position model. The record is from RNAcentral.